This 497-nucleotide ribosomal RNA is filed under the name uncultured bacterium. RNAcentral's name for it is "partial 16S ribosomal RNA". It matches the Rfam family "Bacterial small subunit ribosomal RNA", at positions 28 to 507 of the family's 1533-position model. The record is from RNAcentral.
GAUGAACGCUGGCGGCGUGCCUAAUACAUGCAAGUCGAGCGAACAGACGAGGAGCUUGCUCCUCUGACGUUAGCGGCGGACGGGUGAGUAACACGUGGAUAACCUACCUAUAAGACUGGGAUAACUUCGGGAAACCGGAGCUAAUACCGGAUAAUAUAUUGAACCGCAUGGUUCAAUAGUGAAAGACGGUUUUGCUGUCACUUAUAGAUGGAUCCGCGCCGCAUUAGCUAGUUGGUAAGGUAACGGCUUACCAAGGCAACGAUGCGUAGCCGACCUGAGAGGGUGAUCGGCCACACUGGAACUGAGACACGGUACAGACUCCUACGGGAGGCAGCAGUAGGGAAUAUUGCGCAAUGGGCGAAAGCUUGACGGAGCAACGCCGCGUGAGUGAUGAAGGUCUUCGGAUCGUAAAACUCUGUUAUUAGGGAAGAACAAAUGUGUAAGUAACUAUGCACGUCUUGACGGUACCUAAUCAGAAAGCCACGGCUAACUACGUG